UUCCUUGAGGAGUGGCUUCCGGAGCUAACGCGUUAAGUCGACCGCCUGGGGAGUACGGCCGCAAGGUUAAAACUCAAAUGAAUUGACGGGGGCCCGCACAAGCGGUGGAGCAUGUGGUUUAAUUCGAUGCAACGCGAAGAACCUUACCUACUCUUGACAUCCAGAGAACUUAGCAGAGAUGCAUUGGUGCCUUCGGGAACUCUGAGACAGGUGCUGCAUGGCUGUCGUCAGCUCGUGUUGUGAAAUGUUGGGUUAAGUCCCGCAACGAGCGCAACCCUUAUCCUUUGUUGCCAGCGCGUGAUGGCGGGAACUCAAAGGAGACUGCCGGUGAUAAACCGGAGGAAGGUGGGGAUGACGUCAAGUCAUCAUGGCCCUUACGAGUAGGGCUACACACGUGCUACAAUGGCGCAUACAAAGAGAAGCGACCUCGCGAGAGCAAGCGGACCUCACAAAGUGCGUCGUAGUCCGGAUCGGAGUCUGCAACUCGACUCCGUGAAGUCGGAAUCGCUAGUAAUCGUGGAUCAGAAUGCCACGGUGAAUACGUUCCCGGGCCUUGCACCACCGGCCCGUCAAAA
RNAcentral lists this ribosomal RNA (575 nucleotides) under Enterobacterales bacterium. RNAcentral's name for it is "bacterial SSU rRNA". It matches the Rfam family "Bacterial small subunit ribosomal RNA", at positions 828 to 1402 of the family's 1533-position model. Lineage: Bacteria; Pseudomonadati; Pseudomonadota; Gammaproteobacteria; Enterobacterales. The record is from RNAcentral.